GACGAACGCUGGCGGCGUGCUUAACACAUGCAAGUGGAGCGACGAACCAGGCUUCGGGCCUGGGGCAGAGCCGCGAACGGGUGAGUAACACGUGGGUAACCUGCCCUGAUGAUCGGGACAACCCGGGGAAACCCGGGCUAAUACCGAAUGUGCCCGCGAGCCGCAAGGCUUGCGAGGAAAGGAAGCUUCGGCCUCCGCAUCGGGAUGGGCCCGCGGCCCAUUAGCUUGUUGGUGGGGUAACGGCCUACCAAGGCAGCAAUGGGUAGCUGGUCUGAGAGGACGAUCAGCCACACUGGGACUGAGACACGGCCCAGACUCCUACGGGAGGCAGCAGUGGGGAACCUUGCGCAAUGCGCGAAAGCGUGACGCAGCAACGCCGCGUGGGGAAGACGGCCUCGGU
This 400-nucleotide ribosomal RNA is filed under the name uncultured bacterium. RNAcentral's name for it is "bacterial SSU rRNA". It matches the Rfam family "Bacterial small subunit ribosomal RNA", at positions 28 to 423 of the family's 1533-position model. The record is from RNAcentral.